Molecule: non-coding RNA, 75 nt
Organism: Myotis davidii
Lineage: Eukaryota; Metazoa; Chordata; Mammalia; Chiroptera; Vespertilionidae
Source: Rfam
GGUGGUUCUCAGGUGACGCACCCGGAACCAGAGAGGAGGGAGCCUGAUUCUGGGGUGCGUCACCCGAGAACCGCC